AAAUUGAAGAGUUUGAUCAUGGCUCAGAUUGAACGCUGGCGGCAGGCCUAACACAUGCAAGUCGAACGGUAACAGAAAGCAGCUUGCUGCUUUGCUGACGAGUGGCGGACGGGUGAGUAAUGUCUGGGAAACUGCCUGAUGGAGGGGGAUAACUACUGGAAACGGUAGCUAAUACCGCAUAACGUCGCAAGACCAAAGAGGGGGACCUUCGGGCCUCUUGCCAUCGGAUGUGCCCAGAUGGGAUUAGCUUGUUGGUGGGGUAACGGCUCACCAAGGCGACGAUCCCUAGCUGGUCUGAGAGGAUGACCAGCCACACUGGAACUGAGACACGGUCCAGACUCCUACGGGAGGCAGCAGUGGGGAAUAUUGCACAAUGGGCGCAAGCCUGAUGCAGCCAUGCCGCGUGUAUGAAGAAGGCCUU
Molecule: ribosomal RNA, 421 nt
Filed under: Escherichia coli
Lineage: Bacteria; Pseudomonadati; Pseudomonadota; Gammaproteobacteria; Enterobacterales; Enterobacteriaceae
Description: bacterial SSU rRNA
Rfam family: Bacterial small subunit ribosomal RNA
Source: RNAcentral